AAAAAAAAAAAAAAAAGAUUUAAUUUAAAAUCCAGAAAGUGCUACAUAACUCCAACAUUACCAGAAUGUCCUCUUGGAGACCCCUAUGCAUACUGCAAUAAUAUCAAACUAAAGCACUGGUUUCAUUCAUAUAAUAGUAAAUUCACUUUGCUUAUUAACACAAUGCCUUUCCAAGAAAUAGAUUUUCUAACAGUAACACCCGAGCUUAUAAAGCAGACAAUACGUGUGAAGAUCCAUUGUUGUCACCAUGAAUUGGUUGGCCCUCCAACAAAUUGUUCAACUCCUUCGCAAAUCUUUCCAUUGCUUGGGUUGGCAAGCAAAUUGGAAACACAAUUCCAUUUUCACCUUUCUUAUUUUCAAACGGUACAUAAAAGCUUGCGACCAUGGGGAUGGCUCUCAACGGCCCACCAUACACAGCUUUGCCCCAUCCAAAAUCUACCUCUCUAAAGCCUGCAUGCCUCAAGUCCGACACUAAGUAACUUCCUUCCACGUGAAAUAUAGGCCUACCCUUAAUCACCAUUAGAUCGGCUGUGGAUUGUAUAUACUCUCUACUCACAUUCGUGGUAGCCUUCCUCACCAAUUCUAUUGCAUAACCUAUCGGAUUUUGAGUGAGUUCUCCGGCAGUUGCCACCACAGUCGAGAGCGCAAAUCCAUUACCGUAAUACCCUUCUGGUAAUAAAGGAGGAUUGAAUUUUUUGCGCACAUUAUUGAGACAUAUCAUGCGCAUCUCUUGUUUGGGGUCUGGUUGGAGUGCCACUGUUCGACAUUUCCAUAAACAUGCAGUUAAUAUUUGAAAAGUAGAGCAUCCAUGGAGGUGGGGAGGGGCAAAUCUUCGAAGAGCAGACAAUUGAGUUGAUCGAAUAAAAAAUGACUUGUCUAAUAUGUCAUGAAGCGGAAAUGGAAUUCUUGCACUGCUAAUACUAUUUAUGCCUUCAAUCUCAUCGUAUUCACGAUGUAUGCAUGUGACACGAGGUGGGUUCCUCGCAUCAAGUACAUGUCUUUCCCACACUGGAAGGAUGGAAGGGGCUUGUUCCCCCCUAGCCAUCUCAGCCACAGCUGACAAGAAUUGGACUAGACCAGGUCCAUCACUCAUGGUGUGGUUCAAACGAAGGGCAUAAACAAAACCACCACAUUUAAAACGUGUAACCUGAAUUAGCAAGAGAGGACAGUUUAGUGUCUCACUUGACCCAGGGACAUCAAAAAGAAGUUCCUCCAAGUAAGGGAACGGGGGUUGAAGUGCGUCGCCGGACUGAUCAAAAGUAACAUCGGUAUCAGCUUCUAUAAACAAGAUACCUUCACCAGUGCAUUCCACCAAAAGCUUGCGAUUACGCCCUUCCCGAAGCCUACCUGCAAAUGGAUAGUAAAAGACAAGUGCUUUAGCAAGAGCCUCCCUGAUGAUUUUAACAGGGUCUUUCCCUUGCAUAGAGGGCUCAUAACGAUAAACUUGUAAGGUGGGAAUAUGGAAGCGGAGACUCUCUUGGUCAUCAAUGUCAGAUAAUGGCUUAAACUCAUGAGGGGUGGGCUUAGCCGGGGGGAGUAGCUCAGGUUCACGCCUGUUGACCUUGAACACAGGGGACGCUAGUGGAGGUGACAUGUCUAGAGAACACUGAACAGUAAGCCAAUAAUGAUAAGGAAAUAUCUAAAAGCUUGGUGUCA
This 1656-nucleotide unclassified non-coding RNA is filed under the name Hevea brasiliensis (rubber tree). The record is from RNAcentral. Lineage: Eukaryota; Viridiplantae; Streptophyta; Magnoliopsida; Malpighiales; Euphorbiaceae.